GGAGACGCAGCAUGUGAUCCCUGACGCAGGCAGGCAGACCGGCGGGGCGGGGCGGGAAGCGCUGGUGGUGUCGGCGAUGGGCGCCCCCUCCCGUCUCACAGAGGCCGCCGAGUUCCGUCAAGUCUGACUACCAUGAAGAUGCAUUGAAAAUUCUGCUACACUGGAGGAGUGAAGUAUCCCAUUCAGUUGGUGAUCUUCCUGUCAUGGAAGUUGCUUGCCAGCUCUAAUUUUGAGUGAACACAGUAAACACAAUGGUGAAAAUAUCAAUUAAAAAAAUCUACUCUCCAUACUAUCUCUUCAGAUCAAGAGGAACUCUUCUCAAGGGGCUAUAUUUAAGGCACUAUACUCAAGAAGUUCAUCAAUACCUGGACCUCAAACCUCAGCCUGAUGUUAUGGGUAUCGGUGGGAGGGAAUGAGUAUAUUUUGCAUGUAGGAGGGAUGUGAACUGCUGUGGCCAGAAGGUGGACUGUGGUAUGUUAUAUUUUUGAUGACUGGUCUCAGCAAUAUUUUUGGUCCCACAUGCUGUUUUAGAAACUUGCCACUUCCCGUCAAGAGACUGAGUUUACUUCCCCUGUCCUUGAACUUGGGCUGGACUUUGCACGGAUUAGUAGAAUUGGGGGAAGUGAUACUGUAUGACUUCCAAGGCUAGGUUCUAAAAGAUGGUACUGCUUCUGCCUGCCUCUCUCAGGAUGCUUACCUUUAGAAUCUAGCCACCCACUGUGGCGUGAGGAAGCCUAGGCCACAUAUUGAAGCCAUGUGUAGGUUUUCUGGCACCAGAUUCUCAUCUGACAGCAUCAACCACCAGACUAGUGAAUGAGGCUUUAUAUAAUUGCAGUCCCCAGCCUUUGAGCCCUUCCAGCUGUUGCUGAGUGGAGCAGAGAUGAGCAGUCCUGUCCAAGCCCUGUCCAAAUUGCAGGUUCAUGAACAAAAAAAUAUUGUUGCUUUAGGUCAAUAAGAUUUAGGGUAAUUUUUAAAUAUAGUCUUAGUAACUGAAGUAAUUAGAAUGGUUUAUAGUUUGGGGUUUAUUUAUUUUUUUAUUUUGUAUUUUUUGUGUGUGUGUGUGGUACGCGGGCCUCUCACUGUUGUGGCCUCUCCCGUUGCAGAGCACAGG
Delphinapterus leucas (beluga whale) is the source of this 1111-nucleotide non-coding RNA. Lineage: Eukaryota; Metazoa; Chordata; Mammalia; Artiodactyla; Monodontidae. The record is from RefSeq and is a predicted model, not a curated record.